Long non-coding RNA from Papaver somniferum (opium poppy), 998 nucleotides. RefSeq lists it as uncharacterized. NCBI's taxonomy places the organism in Eukaryota, Viridiplantae, Streptophyta, Magnoliopsida, Ranunculales, Papaveraceae. The transcript is spliced from 5 exons. The record is from RefSeq and is a predicted model, not a curated record.
UGAAUGCAUGCCCAAGAUAGAAUCUAUCAAAAUGACUGCAAUAAAAGUGAAGGAAGACGGAAAGAAUGUAUAAAAAAUCUCAUAACUGCUGCCAAGACCUGCGUGAUGCUGGAAACUCCAAGAGCGGCCAAUGAAUAAAAGAAAGAUGGAAGGCAGGUCAAAUUGCUUGAAAGAAACUGAAAGGGAUAGUGCAAAUCUGUGUAUUACUAUCCAAAACUACACGAUAAAUGAAGCUCGGUUUAAGGUAGUCCAGAUUUAGAGAUUCAAAUUGCUUGACUACAGAUGACCUACAAACCCGAGGACGGACCGGAAAGACUCUUCUCCCCAGUUUGGAACCAGUGUGAGGAUACAAUUGCAUGUAUUUGCUGGCCCUCCAUCUGACAAGAUAAUGAAGGUGAACAUCGAUGCUAUCACCAACAUAUCGAAGUAUAGACGCCAAAGGUUUGAUUUAGUCGAACAGAAUUUGAUUAUUGAUUCGAAGCAGGGAUGUUCUGGAUUUAUUGAUUUGUCGUAACAAAUAAUCAGGGUUUGUGCAAUUUGUAUGGUUUUUAAUUAAUUUGUACCAAUUACUGGCAUGUCAUUGUCAAUGUACGAAUCUCAGUUCUCAAGUUGCUCUUUCCACUAUCUUAGCAGACAUAGCUAAGGAAAAUUCCUAUCUUAAAUUUCUUUCAUAUUCAGAAUAGGGAUGGAAUUGACUCAAAAAGUGUUCUGCUCGGGGAAUGCAACUAUGGAAUUGAUGAUGUUGAAUAGUAUAUUCUGAACCACAUAAAGUUGGAUAUUUCCUUCUUUAACUCGCAGCUGAAUGAGAUGUUGGUGCUUUUGUAUGCAAGGUAACAAUCAUUUUCAAUUUUAUUCUAAUUAUUACUCAAGAGUUUUGCAGCCCCUGUAAGGGCUUAAGAGUUUUGCAGCCCCUGUAAGUAUUCAUGCUGGAGCUUGCAGGUUGGGCUUCUGUUUUAAUUCUUCUAGAUAAGGUUAACUAAAAAUGUCUUAUGGUACAU